RNAcentral lists this ribosomal RNA (497 nucleotides) under uncultured bacterium. RNAcentral's name for it is "partial 16S ribosomal RNA". It matches the Rfam family "Bacterial small subunit ribosomal RNA", at positions 28 to 507 of the family's 1533-position model. The record is from RNAcentral.
GAUGAACGCUGGCGGCGUGCCUAAUACAUGCAAGUCGAGCGAACAGACGAGGAGCUUGCUCCUCUGACGUUAGCGGCGAACGGGUGAGUAACACGUGGGUAACCGACCUUUAAGACUGGGAUAACUUCGUGAAACUGGAGCUAAUACCGGAUAUGAUAUUGAACCGCAUGGUUCAAUAGUGAAAGACGGUUUUGCUGUUACUUAUAGAUGGAUCCGCUCCGCAUUAGCUAGUUCGUAAGGUAACGGCUUUCCAAGGCGACGAUGCUUAUCCGACCUUUGAGAGUGAUCAGUCACAGUGGGACUGUAACGCCGUCGCGACUCCUACGGGAGUCAGCACUAGUGAAUCUUCCACCAUGGGCGGAAGCCUGACGGAGCAGCGCCGCGUGAGUGACAAAGGUCUUCGGAUCGUAACACUCUGUUAUUCGAGCAGAACAAAUGUGUAAGUGACUAUGCACGUCUUGACGGUACCUACUCAGACAGCCGCGGCUAACUACGUG